GAUGAACGCUGGCGGCAUGCCUAAUACAUGCAAGUCGAGCGAACAGAUGAGGAGCUUGCUCCUCUGACGUUAGCGGCGGACGGGUGAGUAACACGUGGAUAACCUACCUAUAAGACUGGGAUAACUUCGGGAAACCGGAGCUAAUACCGGAUAAUAUAUUGAACCGCAUGGUUCAAUAGUGAAAGACGGUUUUGCUGUCACUUAUAGAUGGAUCCGCGCCGCAUUAGCUAGUUGGUAAGGUAACGGCUUACCAAGGCAACGAUGCGUAGCCGACCUGAGAGGGUGAUCGGCCACACUGGAACUGAGACACGGUCCAGACUCCUACGGGAGGCAGCAGUAGGGAAUCUUCCGCAAUGGGCGAAAGCCUGACGGAGCAACGCCGCGUGAGUGAUGAAGGUCUUCGGAUCGUAAAACUCUGUUAUUAGGGAAGAACAAAUGUGUAAGUAACUAUGCACGUCUUGACGGUACCUAAUCAGAAAGCCACGGCUAACUACGUG
This 497-nucleotide ribosomal RNA is filed under the name uncultured bacterium. RNAcentral describes it as "partial 16S ribosomal RNA". It matches the Rfam family "Bacterial small subunit ribosomal RNA", at positions 28 to 507 of the family's 1533-position model. The record is from RNAcentral.